This 467-nucleotide ribosomal RNA is filed under the name uncultured bacterium. Its description in RNAcentral is "partial 16S ribosomal RNA". It matches the Rfam family "Bacterial small subunit ribosomal RNA", at positions 28 to 507 of the family's 1533-position model. The record is from RNAcentral.
GACGAACGCUGGCAGCAUGCUUAACACAUGCAAGUCGAAUGGAAUGGGCGUUCUUAACUGAGGUUCGGGAGGCGCAAACGUGAGUAUAGCGUGUAGAUCUCGUCCCCUAGAUAUGGGGAUAACUUGGAAAAGAUUGCUCUAAUAUCGUAUUGUGGCUCCAGCUCCUUCUAUAGUUUUGAAAGGUAUGAGCGCUGUGAGAGAGCUUCGCGUCCCAUUAGCUAGUUGGUGAGGUAACGGCUCACCAAGGCGAUGAUGGGUAGCCGGCCUGAGAGGGUGAUCGGCCACAAGGGGACGGGGACACGGCCAUUACUCCAACGGGAGGCAGCGGUGGGGAAUAUGCGACAAUGGACCGAGAGUCUGGCCGAGACAUUCUGUGUGCACGAUGAAGUUUUUCGGAAUGUAAAGUGCUUUCAGUUGAGAAGAAACGAGUGACGGUACCAACAGAAGAAGUGACGGCUAAAUACGUG